GGCUCAGGACGAACGCUGGCGGCGUGCCUAAUACAUGCAAGUCGAACGGUCUUUCUAUGGAAGCUUGCUUCCACUGAGAAGAUAGUGGCGAACGGGUGAGUAACACGUGGGUAACCUGCCCAUAAGAGGGGGAUAACAUCCGGAAACGGGUGCUAAUACCGCAUAGUUUCUUGAUCGCAUGAUCGGGAAAGGAAAGACGGCCUUUGUGCUGUCGCUUGUGGAUGGACCCGCGGCGUAUUAGUUAGUUGGUGAGGUAACGGCUCACCAAGACGAUGAUACGUAGCCGACCUGAGAGGGUGAUCGGCCACAUUGGGACUGAGACACGGCCCAAACUCCUGCGGGAGGCAGCAGUAGGGAAUCUUCCGCAAUGGACGAAAGUCUGACGGAGCAACGCCGCGUGAGUGAAAGAAGGUUUUCGGAUCGUAAAACUCUGUUGUCAGAGAAGAACAAGUUGGAGAGUAACUGCUCCAGCCUUGACGGUAUCUGACCAGAAAGCCACGGCUAACUACGUGCCAGCCGCGGC
RNAcentral lists this ribosomal RNA (523 nucleotides) under uncultured bacterium. RNAcentral's name for it is "bacterial SSU rRNA". It matches the Rfam family "Bacterial small subunit ribosomal RNA", at positions 21 to 518 of the family's 1533-position model. The record is from RNAcentral.